Molecule: ribosomal RNA, 483 nt
Filed under: uncultured bacterium
Lineage: Bacteria
Description: partial 16S ribosomal RNA
Rfam family: Bacterial small subunit ribosomal RNA
Source: RNAcentral
GAUGAACGCUGGCGGCGUGCCUAAUACAUGCAAGUCGAGCGAACCACUUCGGUGGUGAGCGGCGAACGGGUGAGUAACACGUAGGUGAUCUGCCCAUCAGACGGGGACAACGAUUGGAAACGAUCGCUAAUACCGGAUAGGACGAAAGUUUAAAGGUGCUUCUGGCACCGCUGAUGGAUGAGCCUGCGGCGCAUUAGCUAGUUGGUAGGGUAAAGGCCUACCAAGGCGACGAUGCGUAGCCGACCUGAGAGGGUGAACGGCCACACUGGGACUGAGGAACGGCCCAGACUCCUACGGGAGGCAGCAGUAGGGAAUCUUCGGCAAUGGGCGAAAGCCUGACCGAGCAACGCCGCGUGAAUGAUGAAGGCCUUCGGGUUGUAAAAUUCUGUUAUAAGGGAAGAACGACUUUAGUAGGAAAUGGCUAGAGUGUGACGGUACCUUAUGAGAAAGCCACGGCUAACUACGUGCCAGCCGCCGCGGUAA